Alnus glutinosa is the source of this 622-nucleotide long non-coding RNA. RefSeq lists it as uncharacterized. Lineage: Eukaryota; Viridiplantae; Streptophyta; Magnoliopsida; Fagales; Betulaceae. The record is from RefSeq and is a predicted model, not a curated record. The transcript has 2 exons.
UUUGUCUUCCUUUUCCCUCUUUUCCUAGAUCUCUCACGCAUUCUCUUCAUUUUUCCUCUUCUUUUCCUGUUCUUUCUUUUUCUUUCUUCUUCCUUCCCCUCCAGCAACCUGCACGCCCGACACCCCCUCCUCUCCUUCUUCUUCUUCUCUUCUUCUCCCUUCAUCCCGUUCCUUUCUCCCUUUCUCUUCCAUCACACACGCACGUAGAGAUCGUGAGGGAGAGAUCCAACCGUGUGAUCAAACCCGAGCAACUGAGAGGGAGCUGAUUUCCGGCAGGCUAAGCUAGUUUUUCGGUGAAUUUCAUGGGUUCCGACCAUGGGAGUUUUGUAAGAUGAUGUCCCUUUGGCUGCAGGUACACAGGUCAUAGUUGAUGGGGUUGUAGACGUGCGUUUGGGAUGUUAUGACCGAAGCUCGCCGCGAUAAUCGUAAUUAUGAGACUAUGGGCGUCCUCUAUUUUUAUUUUAUAAGUUUUGUUGAUGGCUUGUGAUGCCUGUGUCACUUGUUAUUGUAUAAAGUCAUUUCUGUCAUGUAUUUAUAUUGAGGAAAGAUCUAAACACAUAGAUGUUAAAUGGCUCUUGUUAUUAUUUUAUGAUAGAUGUUUAAGAUGUGAUUUCCGCUAUUA